This is a long non-coding RNA of Jaculus jaculus (lesser Egyptian jerboa), 758 nucleotides long. RefSeq lists it as uncharacterized. The transcript has 3 exons. The record is from RefSeq and is a predicted model, not a curated record. NCBI's taxonomy places the organism in Eukaryota, Metazoa, Chordata, Mammalia, Rodentia, Dipodidae.
GCGGGGGGCGCGCGGGGGGCUGUGGGGCUCGGCGCCCAGCUCCUCCGGCCCGCGGUACACGGCGUACACCUUCUGGUUGUCAAAAUCCAGCCGCGAGCGGGGGCUGAAAUCGCGCACGCACGACACGGGCAGCGCGUAGCAGACGUUGUCCUCCAGGAACCGCACAAAGGCGUACAUGGGGUAGAACACUGACUCCACUCCUAAGAUGGAUACGUUCACAAAGAUACUAAAAAUCAUUACCAUAAGGCACCAGUUCCAUUUCCCAAGAAUCACUAAAAACGGAUGCCAACAAGUAAAUGCAGACUCCAAGAAAUUCUACGUGUGGGUCCACAGAAUGGAUUCCGGAGAAAAAAUGGUAGGCAAUGUGCUCAGAGACACUGUGGACAACGGAAAAGCAGACUCAUGGUGAACCUACUCUGUGCCAUACUGUGCCUCCGACCCAAGUGAAAGCAGAGUCAGAGGUCCUCUUCUCUGACCCCGAGACCACAGCCCUGACCGUGAUAUAAGCCCAGAAACUCAAGAUAUUCCUGACUCAUAGACUGGCUAAUAAUGAUAAUUUAAAAAUACAGAUACCAGACUUAAAUAACAAAAUCAUGGUUGGAUCCCCUCUUUGACAUCCCUGCCAACUGGUUUUAUGACUUGAGUUCCAGUUUCUUUAGACCUAGGACCUGAUUCAGUUGAAUGGCCACUAUCUUCCCAGCUCUGUCCAGACCUGAUCUUUUUCUUGAGGACCAGGUACUGUGAUUCUGGGUACGACA